UUGACGGGGCCGCACAAGCGAGGAACAUGUGGUUAAUUCGAUGAUACGCGAGGAACCUUACCUGGGCUUAAAUGCAGAGUGCAUGAGGUGGAACACUUCUCCCUUCGGGGCUCUUGCAAGGUGCUGCAUGGUUGUCGUCAGCUCGUGCCGUGAGGUGUCGGGUUAAGUCCCAUAACGAGCGCAACCCUUAUCGUUAGUUGCCAGCGGGUAAUGCCGGGAACUCUAGCGAAACUGCCGGUGUAAACCGAGAGGAAGGUGGGGAUGACGUCAAAUCAGCACGGCCCUUAUGUCCAGGGCUACACACGUGUUACAAUGGCCGGUACAGAGGGCAGCUACCUGGAGACAGGAUGCGAAUCUCCAAAGCCGGUCUCAGUUCGGAUCGGAGUCUGCAACUCGACUCCGUGAAGCUGGAUUCGCUAGUAAUCGCGCAUCAGCCAUGGCGCGGUGAAUACGUUCCCGGGCCUUGUACACACCGCCCGUCAAGCCAUGGAAGUUGGGGG
This 500-nucleotide ribosomal RNA is filed under the name uncultured bacterium. RNAcentral describes it as "bacterial SSU rRNA". It matches the Rfam family "Bacterial small subunit ribosomal RNA", at positions 910 to 1417 of the family's 1533-position model. The record is from RNAcentral.